Molecule: non-coding RNA, 2670 nt
Organism: Microcebus murinus (gray mouse lemur)
Lineage: Eukaryota; Metazoa; Chordata; Mammalia; Primates; Cheirogaleidae
Source: RefSeq, a predicted model, not a curated record
AAAAAAAAAGUGUUUCUGGGACCCAGUUUAAGAAACUGUUUGUAAAAGUUCCAAAAGGAACCUGUAACUAGUUAUAUAGGAAUGUGGUGUCCAGGGUACCCCUGAGAAGUGUUCUAACAGAAUUCAGUGAUUGGUGAGCCUUUCCAAUUGUUCUUUUCCUUCUCUUUAAGCUAUUUCUUUUAUGUUUUUUUCACAUUUAUCUCUAUAGCAGCCAUUAAAUCCUAUGUUUAUUUGUUAAUUUUUAAGGUGCUGGUCUCUAAAUUAUUUUCUUAGGGAUAAUUGUUUCAUAUAUUUCAUAAACAUGCUCACUAAUUUCAGAUGUUUUUCCUAAAAUUUAUAUUAGUGGAUUCUGUUUUGCUUUUUUUUAACUUACUGAUAUUUUGAUUAAUCUUUUUUUUAUAUUUGCAUUUAUCUCAUUGUGGUUUGGUGUUUUACCCAUGUAUUUUUCUAGAUUUAUCUAGUCUUUCUCCCUACAGAUGACAGUAAGUUCUACAAUGCAGUUGCUUCUCUGUGAGGAACAUCUAUGCUUGGUUAUGAGGCUGUAACACAGAAGUCUAAUACAUUUGAUGGCACUUAACUCCCAAAUGUCCAACACUCCAGUGUGUUGGGGAGGCAACAGUGAAUAAAGCCAAGUUCCAACUCCUUCGAUGACCAGAUUUUAGUGAGAGGAAACAGAAAAUAAAGAAGCAAAUACGUAAUAUAAGAUGCCAGGAGUACUAAAGGAUCAAGAUCCAAAUUUCCCGUUCCCUCCUCAACUAAGUCUCACUGGAGAGACAAAGCCAGGUCAUUAUCUUUGUUCAAGUGACUAUUGCAAACAAGUUAUUAGGAAUGUAAUCAGCUGUGGUUCUCUGUGAUACUUUACUAAGCUGAAGAUACCUGAGCAGCAUUCAGGAGUUGGAGAGGAAUACUGACUAUUUCAACCCCAACAGAAGGAAGUGGGUGCCAUAAUCUGUAACUUGAUUCCUCACUGUAUUUCACCUCCAGAGUGAGGAUACUUUGUAAACCUCCAAGUUAUCAAAUUAAACUCAUCCAUUAAUGUAUGUGUGCGGUUCAGGGUGUUAAUGUAUCUAGUGACAUAUGUUUGUUUCAUGCUUAUUGAUUUCAUAUUUCAUACUAUCUCUCAAAUUUCUCCUCUUUAGCUGCACUGCUAAUAUCUCUUGCCUAGAUUGGUGCAACCUCACUUUGACCUUCCGGUUGGUCUCUUGCUAUGGGUCUUCCUCCAUAGUGAAGCUGAUCUUUUAAAAUGCAGAUGAAAAUGCAAGCAUUUGAAUGGCCUCCCAUUUCUUAACAGGAAAUACAAGGUCUUCACAAUAUGGAGCCUGGUUUUCCUCACUUGUACCCCAUGCAUCAAUAGAAGUUUACAGUUUUCUGCAAUCACCAACUGUCCUAGUUCUCACACACUGCUCCCCUGUUUAUAUUAUCUCAUACACCCUGGUUUGAGUCACACGCCAUACCUCUUAACCUAGCAUACUAUACUUACCUGAAAGGAUUAAGUACAUGGGCACUGGAGGUAACUUCCUCAAUUGGAGCCUGGCUUUUCUAAUAACUAUGUGACAUUGGGCAAGUUACUUAAGCUUCUUAAACUGUUUCCUUCUCUGUAAAUGGAGUUUAAUAACUGGAUACAACCCAGAUUGUUCUCAGGAUUACAUGAAAUAAUUCAUAUCUAGUACUUAGUAUAGCCUUAGCAUGUAGUGUAUUCUCAACAAAUGUUAGCAAUUUUUAUUGAUAUUACUAGCACCCCCAUCACCAAUAGGCUGGACUGGUUAUCUCUAUCAAUUAUAGCCUUUCUAGACCUAGAAACAAUUGCCAGGACUCAGUAAGCAUUCAAUACAUACAUAUUGAAAAAAUUACGUACAUUCCUAAUGUCUGCCAAUGGUAAUAUAUGUAUACUCCUAAAAGACAAGAUUUAUUUCUUUAUAUCCUGCAUUUUCCACCUAUUUGCUCAAGAAGUGUUCACUCAUUAAAUAUGUUUAGUGAAGUGAUAAAUGCAUUGUAGGACAAUAAAUACUAGUGAAAAGCAAUCACAGAUUCCCUUAUGGCUUAUAAACAGGAUAUGAUUCUCCUUUCCUAACCAAUGUCUUGUAUUUCCCUUUCUCUGGAUUUAACCAUUGCUCCUACCAUGUCUGCUGGUUAACAACUCUGGUAGUACUUAGAAAAUAUAUAUUGUAAUAUAUUGAUUAAUUAGUCUUACAUUAAUUCUAUUAAUUAUUGUACCAUCAAAACUAUCCAGUUAUUAUUUACUAAUAUUUUCCAGACUAUUAAUAUUCUUCCAGUCAGAAGAAUACUUUUGAAACUCCAAUAGAAUUGUCAAAAUGACAAGUGAUUUAUUCUUUCUCUCUAACAUACAUAGCUUGGAAAAUAUGCAUCCACUUCUUUGAGUCACUUUGCUUAAAAACCCAAUCCUUUGACUAUCUUUCUCCUAUUUUCAUUAUUAAAGAGAGCUAGUGCUACACAGCAUGGCUGUCUGGCUUCCCAAGGGGGCUCCUUUAUCAAGACAUCAGACUGUAAGUGCAAUGAGGGCAGGUAUCUCCCUAGUUUGGGAAGCACAGUGCUUGGCACAUAGAGUGCUUCAUAGUUUCCCCCCCUUCAACAAGUGAAUGAAUAAACAAAUGCAAGCACCUGAUUCAUUUUAAGUCCUAAAUAUUUAUCUUUAUUCUAACAUACAUUUGG